GACGAACGCUGGCGGCGUGCUUAAUACAUGCAAGUCGAACGGAAAGGCCCUGCUUUUGUGGGGUGCUCGAGUGGCGAACGGGUGAGUAACACGUGAGUAACCUGCCCUUGACUUUGGGAUAACUUCAGGAAACUGGGGCUAAUACCGGAUAGGAGCUCCUGCUGCAUGGUGGGGGUUGGAAAGUUUCGGCGGUUGGGGAUGGACUCGCGGCUUAUCAGCUUGUUGGUGGGGUAGUGGCUUACCAAGGCUUUGACGGGUAGCCGGCCUGAGAGGGUGACCGGCCACAUUGGGACUGAGAUACGGCCCAGACUCCUACGGGAGGCAGCAGUGGGGAAUAUUGCACAAUGGGCGGAAGCCUGAUGCAGCAACGCCGCGUGCGGGAUGACGGCCUUCGGGUUGUAAACCGCUUUCGCCUGUGACGAAGCGUGAGUGGCGGUAAUGGGUAAAGAAGCACCGGCUAACUACGUG
RNAcentral lists this ribosomal RNA (468 nucleotides) under uncultured bacterium. RNAcentral describes it as "partial 16S ribosomal RNA". It matches the Rfam family "Bacterial small subunit ribosomal RNA", at positions 28 to 507 of the family's 1533-position model. The record is from RNAcentral.